This is a non-coding RNA of Glycine soja, 91 nucleotides long. The record is from Rfam. Lineage: Eukaryota; Viridiplantae; Streptophyta; Magnoliopsida; Fabales; Fabaceae.
CCAGCGGUGAUGAGCCUCUAACAUGUAAGAAGAAAUCUCUAGUUGGGUUCCUUCAAUGAAAUUUACUUGUUACGCUUGGCUUCUGAGUUUU